GACGAACGCUGGCGGCGUGCUUAACACAUGCAAGUCGAACGAUGAUCAGGAGCUUGCUCCUGUGAUUAGUGGCGAACGGGUGAGUAACACGUGAGUAACCUGCCCCUGACUCUGGGAUAAGCGUUGGAAACGACGUCUAAUACUGGAUACGACUGCCGGCCGCAUGGUCUGGUGGGGGAAAGAUUUUUUGGUUGGGGAUGGACUCGCGGCCUAUCAGCUUGUUGGUGAGGUAAUGGCUCACCAAGGCGACGACGGGUGGCCGGCCUGAGAGGGUGACCGGCCACACAGGGACUGAGACACGGCCCAGACUCCUACGGGAGGCAGCAGUGGGGAAUAUUGCACAAUGGGCGAAAGCCUGAUGCAGCAACGCCGCGUGAGGGAUGACGGCCUUCGGGUUGUAAACCUCUUUUAGUAGGGAAGAAGCGAAAGUGACGGUACCUGCAGAAAAAGCACCGGCUAACUACGUGCCAGCCGCCGCGGUAA
Molecule: ribosomal RNA, 483 nt
Filed under: uncultured bacterium
Lineage: Bacteria
Description: partial 16S ribosomal RNA
Rfam family: Bacterial small subunit ribosomal RNA
Source: RNAcentral